This 204-nucleotide microRNA precursor is filed under the name Oryza sativa Japonica Group (Japanese rice). Its description in RNAcentral is "MIR812 microRNA precursor family". It matches the Rfam family "MIR812 microRNA precursor family". The record is from Rfam by way of RNAcentral. Lineage: Eukaryota; Viridiplantae; Streptophyta; Magnoliopsida; Poales; Poaceae.
UAUAAGUGCAGCCAUAGUUUUCCGCGUCCAACUUUAACCGUCCGUCUUAUUUGAAAAAUUUUUAAAAAAAUUUAAAAAUAUAAGUCACGAGUAAAGUACUAUUCAUGUUUUAUCAUCUCAUAACAAUAAAAAUACUAAUUAUAAAAAAAUUUAAAUAAGACGAACGAUUAAAAUUGGGCGCGGAAACUUAUGGUUGCACUUGUA